GAUCAAAGUCUUCAGCACGUGAAUUACGAAGAAUUUUUUCACUUAUUGCAACACAUAUGUUAUAUUCUGAAGCGAGACCAAUGAAGCGGGCUAUUCCCUGGAGAAUAUAGAGCGACCGUUGAGACGUACUUCCAUCCGAGCUGAUGUACCACUUCAACCAUCGCCUGCGCUUGAAAAUUAUCCGGUGGUACAACUCUGCUGAAGUAUUCAAAACGACUUUUGUCCGAGAGCUCUGUGCUCGUCGAUGCGUAGCUCAAUUGUGGGAUCUGUCAAAAGGAAUCGCCGAGUAGAUACAUUAGAGUACUAAAAAUAAAGUAAAAAUACGAAAAAUAUAAAAAAGCUGCUGUAACUAGCUGUAGAACUAGAACUAGAGCUAGAGCUGAGCUAAAAUUUUUUUUUCAAAUUAUAUAAUUCUAUGUAUAUCUUUUCUACCUUGAAGAGCCUCAAUAUGUUAGCAACCAUUAUUGAAACGACACUGAAUGAUGCUCCGAUAACUCCAGUGACAGAUUUAUGAGGCACAUAAAGCGGUGCCUUACCAUCUUCGCAUUUAUACUCGGUCAUAUCCUUAAAAAAAUCAAUGAAAUACCUGAUUCAUGUAUGACCGCACAAAUUCCAUACUUUGAUCUAAAGCAUAUGUAUCACUACUACAUGAAUCGAGAAUAAGUGCUCCAAGGGUGGUAUUUGGUAA
Cotesia glomerata is the source of this 688-nucleotide long non-coding RNA. RefSeq lists it as uncharacterized. The transcript is spliced from 4 exons. Lineage: Eukaryota; Metazoa; Arthropoda; Insecta; Hymenoptera; Braconidae. The record is from RefSeq and is a predicted model, not a curated record.